RNAcentral lists this ribosomal RNA (550 nucleotides) under uncultured bacterium. Its description in RNAcentral is "bacterial SSU rRNA". It matches the Rfam family "Bacterial small subunit ribosomal RNA", at positions 355 to 896 of the family's 1533-position model. The record is from RNAcentral.
UAGGGAAUCUUCGGCAAUGGACGGAAGUCUGACCGAGCAACGCCGCGUGAGUGAAGAAGGUUUUCGGAUCGUAAAGCUCUGUUGUAAGAGAAGAACGAGUGUGAGAGUGGAAAGUUCACACUGUGACGGUAUCUUACCAGAAAGGGACGGCUAACUACGUGCCAGCAGCCGCGGUAAUACGUAGGUCCCGAGCGUUGUCCGGAUUUAUUGGGCGUAAAGCGAGCGCAGGCGGUUAGAUAAGUCUGAAGUUAAAGGCUGUGGCUUAACCAUAGUACGCUUUGGAAACUGUUUAACUUGAGUGCAAGAGGGGAGAGUGGAAUUCCAUGUGUAGCGGUGAAAUGCGUAGAUAUAUGGAGGAACACCGGUGGCGAAAGCGGCUCUCUGGCUUGUAACUGACGCUGAGGCUCGAAAGCGUGGGGAGCAAACAGGAUUAGAUACCCUGGUAGUCCACGCCGUAAACGAUGAGUGCUAGGUGUUAGACCCUUUCCGGGGUUUAGUGCCGUAGCUAACGCAUUAAGCACUCCGCCUGGGGAGUACGGCCGCAAGGUUA